GACGAACGCUGGCGGCGUGCUUAACGCAUGCAAGUCGAACGCUGAAGCUUGGUGCUUGCACUGGGUGGAUGAGUGGCGAACGGGUGAGUAAUACGUGAGUAACCUGCCCUUGACUCUGGGAUAAGCCUGGGAAACUGGGUCUAAUACUGGAUACGACAUGUCACCGCAUGGUGGUGUGUGGAAAGGGUUUUACUGGUUUUGGAUGGGCUCACGGCCUAUCAGCUUGUUGGUGGGGUAAUGGCUCACCAAGGCGACGACGGGUAGCCGGCCUGAGAGGGUGACCGGCCACACUGGGACUGAGACACGGCCCAGACUCCUACGGGAGGCAGCAGUGGGGAAUAUUGCACAAUGGGCGGAAGCCUGAUGCAGCGACGCCGCGUGAGGGGUGACGGCCUUCGGGUUGUAAACCUCUUUCAGCACGGAAGAAGCGAAAGUGACGGUACGUGCAGAAGAAGCGCCGGCUAACUACGUG
RNAcentral lists this ribosomal RNA (472 nucleotides) under uncultured bacterium. RNAcentral's name for it is "partial 16S ribosomal RNA". It matches the Rfam family "Bacterial small subunit ribosomal RNA", at positions 28 to 507 of the family's 1533-position model. The record is from RNAcentral.